RNAcentral lists this ribosomal RNA (478 nucleotides) under uncultured bacterium. RNAcentral's name for it is "partial 16S ribosomal RNA". It matches the Rfam family "Bacterial small subunit ribosomal RNA", at positions 28 to 523 of the family's 1533-position model. The record is from RNAcentral.
GACGAACGCUGGCGGCGUGCUUAACACAUGCAAGUCGAACGGUAAGGCCCUUCGGGGUACACGAGUGGCGAACGGGUGAGUAACACGUGGGUGAUCUGCCCUGCACUUCGGGAUAAGCCUGGGAAACUGGGUCUAAUACCGGAUAGGACUCCGGACUGCAUGGUCUGGGGUGGAAAGCUUUUGCGGUGUGGGAUGGGCCCGCGGCCUAUCAGCUUGUUGGUGGGGUGAUGGCCUACCAAGGCGACGACGGGUAGCCGGCCUGAGAGGGUGACCGGCAACGCUGGGACUGAGAGACGGCCCAGACUCCUACGGGAGGCAGCAGUGGGGAAUAUUGCACAAUGGGCGCAAGCCUGAUGCAGCGACGCCGCGUGAGGGAUGACGGCCUUCGGGUUGUAAACCUCUUUCAGCAUCGACGAAGCGAAAGUGACGGUAGGUGCAGAAGAAGGACCGGCCAACUACGUGCCAGCCGCCGCCGUAA